GUGUCUCAUAACUGCCUAGGACUCCACCUCCACAGCAUCGGUAUUGGGUGUCUCAUACCUGCCUAGGACUCCACCUCCACAGCAUCGGUAUUGGGUGUCUCAUAACUGCCUAGGGCACCACCUCCAUGGAAUGUUGUGCUAACAUGUCUGAAUGUGAACUAUGUAUGUGAGUCCUGAGUCCUGAAUAGGAUUCACUGGAACUGGAGUUACAGACUAUUUGAAUCAACUUCAGCUUUCAUUUUGAUUCUUUGUCCA
Long non-coding RNA from Mastomys coucha (southern multimammate mouse), 255 nucleotides. RefSeq lists it as uncharacterized. NCBI's taxonomy places the organism in Eukaryota, Metazoa, Chordata, Mammalia, Rodentia, Muridae. The record is from RefSeq and is a predicted model, not a curated record. The transcript is spliced from 3 exons.